Long non-coding RNA from Gasterosteus aculeatus aculeatus (three-spined stickleback), 509 nucleotides. Lineage: Eukaryota; Metazoa; Chordata; Actinopteri; Perciformes; Gasterosteidae. The record is from Ensembl.
CCCGCUCCCUGCCUCCCUCCAUCUCCAUCUCUCUCUCUCUCUCUCUCUCCAGCCCGGCGCUGGGAGCCGUGCGUGUGCGCGUGCGCUGGUGUAAUCUGACUGCACGCUGGGGCUGCGUUCCCUAAGAAAAGCUCGGCGCUCUCUCAGUUUUUCUGCCCGUCUUAUUGCCGCUUUCAUUGUCUUUGUCGACUGUGAUAAAGAGCGCAGUUCGACCGCGGGCCUGUUUUUGGAAUAAGAAAAAAGCAUUGCUGUUUUCUGACUUUGACAGAAGAAAGAAAGGGACUCCUCUGGAAUUUCCUACGGAAUUUAAUCGGACAGCUCCGUGACCGGGGCUUUGCAUUCUCCCGCCUGGGUAUAUAGUAAGGCGCACUAACGGCGACAAUUCACAUCAGCCGUCCUACUUAUGCGAGGAGAAAUAUCCACCUUCAUUAUGCAUAGGACUCUUGACAAUCCCCUCCUAGGAUUAGGUACGUGUGUGACAGUGAGGGCGCAAGCAGGCAGCCAGGGCU